CCCAUGAGCAGGCCCUGCCUUGCAGUCCCGGUCACCCUCAAGUACCCGAUUAGGUUCAGCCAGCUGGUGUUUGCUGCUGCCUUGUCUGGGAAAUGGGGCCCUUAGGGACAGGAACACUUUCCUGCCUUCCUCUCUGAGGAUGCCCUUUGUAUCUCCUUGUAAAUCUGAUACUACAGGGGUGCCCAUGCUGGGGAAAAACUGGAUCCUCUGCCACAGAUGCUGCCCCAGGACGCCACUCCAUGUCCAGCUGGGACUCAGCCUCUGCAACAGAGGGGAGGGAGAGAGGGGGUAUGGUGAGUGGCCUUGUGAAGGGCUGGUCCUGGUCCACACAGAGUGCGAGCCUGAGCAGGACAGAGAUGACAGCAAGAGAGCUGCGUGAUCACUAAACUCAUGGGCACCCAAGAACCAGGCCCCGACCGCAGAGCUUUGCCAGACCCACCAUGAUACAGAAAGGUAGUGGAGAAGGAUGGAGCUCUAAUGGCUGGGGGACAGAAUCUGGGGUGCCCCUCAGCCCAGGGAGGGGCAGGGAGUUCCCAAAGAUGAGCCAAGAAGAGAAGAGGUAGUGUCCUGUUCCCCAAGCCCUGCAGAAGGAGCUACUAGAGAGUGGAUGUGAGUCUCCAGACCCCCGAGUCCCAGGAGUGCCCCCAAAAGACGGGGUGGACUGUCUUGAGAUCUUCUCCCCCACCCCAUGUCCGCCUUGGCUCUGAUACCUGAAUGAAGCCACUUGGCCAUUCAGUGUCUGGAACCUUCGGGCAGAGCAGGUGUGACCCCACUCAGCUGAGCACAGCCCAGACAGGGACAGGGGGACCUUCCUUCCCAUCACUGUGUUUCCAUCCCUGACCACUUCCUGCCCUCUCUGCUGGACUGCAGGCCCCUCCAUGGGGCAAGUUGCGGCAGAUUCUGACAUGCACAGGCCCAGGGGAUGUGGUGUGUUCCCUACCAGCUGUGUGUCUCCCGUGGUCAAAACAAGAAGAGCUGCCCAGUUCUCAGCACCCUGAGAGGCUGAGGCAGGAGGAUAGCAAGGUUGAGCUCAGCAUGGGAAACACAGAAACUUAGAGAGACCCUGUCUCAAAAUAUCAAACACAAAAAGGGCUAGGGAAUUCAUGGAAGGCUGUGGAUUCAAUCCUCAGUCCCAGAGAAAGAAAGGGAAAGAAAAGGAGAGGAGAGGGGAGAGAAAGGAAAGAAAAAAAACUGUAGCUUGGGGGGAAAAGAAAGGAAGUACAGCUUGGGUCGGUGUGGGCUCCUCUCCCGGGGUGUGAUCUCAUGGAGGAGCCUCCCUGCCUUAAAGGGGCUUGGGUUGGCCUCUGGGAUCCAGCUGAGGGACGCGGGUCCACUCCGCCCUGUGCACGCUCCGCCUGGGCCUCCCUAUCCUCUGCCCCUUGCGCUCCUCGCACCCUGUCCGUGCUCCUCCUAACACCUGUUGCUCUCUGAGGGCUCGAGCUGCAGGGACUGGGCCUUGGGUGGGGCGUGUCCCAUGUGUCCAGAUGUCAGUGUCCUCACCUAGAGUACGCUAAGCUUUGCCUCCUGGGGCCUUGCAGGAGAACUAGGGGUGAUGUGGUCAGGACUGACAUGCAGGUAGGACGAGGGAAUGGGAGCUGGUUUGGGUCUGUAAAGGGACAUCCUAAUGCAAAGGCAGCUUCAUGACCGACAGUCCCAGGAGAACCCACCUGGUCUUUGGCAGGGCUGGGCCUCUCUAUCAACACCUGUUUCUGCCAGGACUGGGAAAGGUGCAAGGAGGAAGCGGGCAUCCAAAUGGGCGCCAUGGAACCUGGAUGGUGGACAGACGUGGUGGCCAGAUAUGAAGGGCUGAUUGCCAGGGUGUUUAGGAGCCACCCCCUGGCCCGAGGGUUGAGGGUGGACAAGGUGUGGGCAGCACCUUGGGACACACAAGGAAACCGGUAGCAUGGAGGGUGCAGAGAACACAGCCCUGCAUGCACUGGCCCCGGCUGGAGGCUGCAGAGCCGGGAAGCAGCCUGUAGGGCCUGCCAUGCGGGGAGGGCAGCAGCAGAGCCAGGUUCAGAUGGUGGGGUGCAGGCGGGGGAUCGUGUGGGUAUGGUGGGAUACGUACAGGUGGCACUCGGGGGCUCAGGCGGGGCUCAGGUAGGCAUCUGUGGGUCACAAUUCAUUGUCUUUUACCUUUGCUAGGCGAGUGAUGACAAGGAUGUGCCGCGGGGGUCCCCGGUGGGACCCUUGCUUUGGAAACUGAGGUUCAGAGUGGAGUUGAUCACUCCCUGCCUGUCGUGGGCCUGGGGUCAGGACUGGGGUUCAGAAUAACCAGGGCACAGAGCCCACAGGACCAGGCAGGGUGGACUCCUGGCCUUCUGUCCUUCUGGCUCACAUGCUAACUUGCGGGACUUCCUCUCUGUCCUUGAGCUGCCCUUCACUUGUGGUCAUGGGCCCGCUUGCCUCCAGCACACCCGCUCCAGUCUGGUCCAGACUGGAAAGUGGCAGGGAGGGCAUGAUGGCAGCACGGAGACCAUGGGAUCCCUGUACCAGGCUGUGAUGCCACUUGGGGCUCCCCGCACACAGUGGGCACUGGGCGAGGGGCAGCUGUGGCAGUGGGACCAUGGGACAGUGAAGCCGGCCUGCAGGGGAGGCUGUGCUGGCUCAGGUGUCGGUGAGGAUGGGAUGCGCUCCGCCCGGGUGGAGUGGGCUGGUGUGCAGGAUUCUGAAUUCAGGAGCCGGGGCGGGAUCAAUCAAGGG
Long non-coding RNA from Fukomys damarensis (Damara mole-rat), 2703 nucleotides. Lineage: Eukaryota; Metazoa; Chordata; Mammalia; Rodentia; Bathyergidae. The record is from Ensembl.